UGCCCACUGAUAUAUUAUUAAAGGGCUGCAGUAAUUUGACUGUACAAAGGUAGCAUAAUCAUUAGUCAUUUAAUUGGUGACUUGUAUGAAAGAUUGGAUGAAAUAUAAACUGUCUCUUAAUUAUAGUUAGAAUUUAAUUUUUUAAUUAAAAAGUUAAAAUAAUUUAAAAAGACGAGAAGACCCUAUAGAGUUUUAUAGAUAAAUUAAUUGAAAUUAUUAUUAAAAUAAAUAAAUUGAAAUUAAUUUAUAUAUUUUGUUGGGGUGAUAAAAAAAUAUAUAAAACUUUUUUUAAUAAAAAUACAUAUAUAAGUGAAUAUUUGAUCCAAUAUUAUUGAUUAAAAGAAAAAAUUACCUUAGGGAUAACAGCGUAAUUUUUUUUUUUAGUUCAUAUAAAAAAAAGAGUUUGCGACCUCGAUGUUGGAUUAAGAUAAAAUUUAAAUGUAGAAGUUUAAAGUUUUUGA
Molecule: ribosomal RNA, 461 nt
Filed under: Panolis ningshan
Lineage: Eukaryota; Metazoa; Arthropoda; Insecta; Lepidoptera; Noctuidae
Description: partial 16S ribosomal RNA
Source: RNAcentral